This is a long non-coding RNA of Stylophora pistillata, 1218 nucleotides long. Lineage: Eukaryota; Metazoa; Cnidaria; Anthozoa; Scleractinia; Pocilloporidae. The record is from RefSeq and is a predicted model, not a curated record.
UUAUGAACAAAGUAAACGAUAGAUAUCGAUCUAAAUAUCUUUUAUUGAGUAGCGUCUUAAAAAGAUCUUUCAAGAUCUUAUCCUGAUCUCAAAUUUGAAAACAAAGCAAAUUUAGAAAAUAAUUUGCUUUGAGACUCACAUGGCAUCACCAUAACAACGGAACCGUAACUUUAUAGCUGAAACUUUGGCCGUGUUAACAUGGGACGUGGCCAUGGACCAUCAAGACGAACCGAGGUCUCUAAGACGAAGAAUUAUGCGCAACAGCCUAUUCAUUUUUGUCGGAUUUGUUUUGAUUAUUCUUUGCUUCGUUUUCUUGGGAAUCGCACAGCAGCGCCAACAUAUAACCUCAGGACACUGUAGCCACUGUUACAGUAAAAAUGCUCCCAAGAUAUUUCGACUUUUAGCAGCGAUUUGUUUUGUAAUUGGUUCGACGAUAAUGACAAUUUUUUGGUGGCACAUCAGAGUAAUGAGAAGUGCGUUGAUAAUGCGCCAAAGACGCAUCGAAUUGGAGGGAUUAUUAGAAAACCACAAUCAAACAGGCAGAAGAACAUGCAGAGCAUCUCUUGGAAAGAGAAACAGCGGUUGAAAAUUUAUAACACGCUUAUGGAUUUUGGAGAACGUGACGAAAAUCACACUAAUGAUUUCGAACGUACAGACGUUAACCACCCAAUUAGUCAUUAACUGAUGUAUGCAUACUUGCGUAUGUUUCGACGUGGAUGCUAUGAAACGCCUUAUUAGUUUAUAUACUUAGAACUAACCCUCUUAGAUCAAGCAUUGUUAAGUUCAAAGUUGUUUACCACGGACAUUGAUGUAGAUCUAAAGCUUGGCAAGUGUAACAUUUUGACUUCUUUGUUUGUAUCCGUUACAUAAGUGGAGCAUUCGAACGAGAAAUACUGGAAUCCUUACAGAAUUUCCAUUUUUCUGUUUGUCCUAUACGCGUGACAGAUAUAGUAUUUCCUUCUCCGAGCAGUUGAUGUCAAGAGCCGUAAUCUGUUGUUGAUUAGUCAACAACGAAAUAGCUACAAUCGUCGUAAAAGUAAAGUUUUAUUUUUAGGUGAAUUUUUAUUCACUUUUCCUGAAGGACAAGUGCACAGACAGAAAAAAAAGGAAUUUUGAAACUCUGCGAUUAGGUUAAAACUCGAGAAUACCAUUAAAAAUAUAUAAACAUUUUAUUUACUGAUUUAUAAUGUAAGAAUUAAAGAGAUUAUCAUAACCGAG